RNAcentral lists this long non-coding RNA (2426 nucleotides) under Homo sapiens (human). RNAcentral's name for it is "PREDICTED lncRNA (TCONS_00013940)". The record is from RNAcentral. Lineage: Eukaryota; Metazoa; Chordata; Mammalia; Primates; Hominidae.
GUCUGAUUCAGAGGCAGACAGAUUGUUCUUUUGAUUAAAGCCACAGUGGCUGAGGCUUGAGGAGCGCUGGACCCAGCGCCAUCUGCGGGGUGGCCAGACAGGAUCUGGCCCGUCCUGCAACCCCUCAGCUACAGUCACCCCUCCAGGGUGGCUCUGGGGCUGUUUCUGAGGGAGGCUGGUUUAUGAGGGUCAGAGGAGGCUGCCUCCGCCCUCACCCACUGAUCAUCGCCCCUCCCAUCCCUCUUGUCGCCCCUUUUCCCAUUUGAUCCUCUCAGCCAAGCUGCAGUAACAGCAGCAGUCCCAGGAGCUGCCAUUGAUAGGGGCUUUCUAGGUGCUGGUACCCAUCCUCAUCCCCAUCCUAAUCCCACAAGAGCCAUGAGCACCAGGGCUGAUGAUUCCUGUUCACGGUCAAGGACACUGAGGCCCCGAGAGGCUCAAGGCCACACUAGGGGCAAAUGGCAGAGCCAAAUUCAAACCAGAGCCGCUGUGUCCCUGGGCACACAGCUCUGCUAGUCUCAAGAACAGGUACCAGUGCCAUCCUUUACAGAAUCGGAAGCUGGGGCUUGGAGGUGCUGAGAGUUCUGUGCAGCAGGGCGAGGCUGGGACUCAAGGCUGUCUGAGUCCCUGCUCGGCUCAUUCCUGGCUUGGCAGUGAUAUCCUGCCCCUGCCCCCCAAAACUCCAGCUUUGCAGCACCCUUUGGAGGAGACUUCCCCAUACCCUCUGAACGACAGAGACGGGAAGGACUCAAAGGAGGAAGCACCCCAGGCCACCUGUUCCACCGCCACCACUGCUCCCGGAUGGAGGGAUUCGUCCUGGCCCGCAGCAGCUCGGGUGUCGAUGUCACCGAUCGGCAGGUGCCAAACUUCCUGCAACGGAAACCCAGGAAGUGCGCUGGAUGAGAACACACGCCCUUUGUCUGCCAGCUCAGAGGCUCUGCUGCCCUCCGCCCUCCCUGCCAGGCUCACAACGGCUUUCUUCUCCCUUAGAUGGCUCCAGCAGGCAAGGGGCUCAAUCUUCUAUUAGGAUGGUGGCAGCUGAGACCCUGAGUGGCAGGGAAGGGGUGGAAGAGAGGUUUGAGGGCAAGUCUGCUUGCCGGGGCGGGGGUGGCACCUCCACAGUGGAGAGCUUUGACUGAGCAGACACUGACCGGGCACCUACUGUGUGCAAUGCAUGAGUCAAGGAGCCGACGGGAUCAAAUCAGACAUGAUCAGUCCUUGUCCCCACAGUCCUUACAGGGAGAUUGGGUAGAGCAAACCAUAAAGCAAAUUAACAUAACAAUAACCAAUAGUAAAAGGUGCUAUGAAGGAAUGGACAAGGGGUCUGAGACAAAAGGGGGUGGGGUGGGUGUGGGGUGUGGGGUGUGGGGGGAAAUCCUCUCUGAGGAGGUGAGGGUUAAGCUGAGAUGGGGAGGAGCCAGUGUGAGAAUAGGGACGAAUAUUCCCAGGGAAAGGGGGCAGAAGGGAAAACAUGGGCUUUAAAGGUCAGAGGUCAGCUUGGCAGACAGCCUCAGAAGCCCCUUGGGCCUCCCAGCUCCUUCCUCCAUCCUCCAUCUUCCACCCUACCUGCUUGGAGUCAGGUCAGUCCAAUGCUUAUUUCCUGGGCGCUGCUGUGUGUGGGGCCCUGUGCUAGGCAGGGCGGGGAGAGGAGCAGCAUAGAGAAAAGGGAGCUCCCCCAUGGUGGCCGGGUCAGAUGGGGACACAGAUACAGCUGUGAGUAACAUCAGUAUCUGGGAGUGAUUCCAGCUCUGCCACUUGCCAGCCUUGGGCAAAUCACUUCUCUCUGGGCCUCAGUUUCCUCUUGCAACCGAGGGGUUGCCAACCCAGGUUUGUCCCUUGUGGCUUCAUAGCAAGAAUCUGGUGGGGUAAAUGUGGGUAAAAAUACCUGAUGCUCAGUAGGUGUUCAGAGAUGAGUUCCUUUGCUCUCCCUACCACAUGAAGGAUAGAAGUUUUAGUAAGAGGGACAAAGUUCUGAAGGGAAGGGAAGGACGUGACUUUGUCCUGCAAGAGAAUCCAAGGAACAUCCAUGGCUCCUGAUAGCCAGCACUACUUUCCCUGAUUCUGAUAACAGCACUCAGUUUCUGUUUGGGGAACCUCUCUUCCACUCUCAGUGCCUGGUGUAUACAUGACCCAUGUCCAGCCAAUCAUAGUGGCUGUUAGUUCUAAGAUCAGCUCUCUGGGCUUGUUGGCUGGCAGAAUACAAGCUUGACACCACUUUUGCCCCCCACUUGGACCACCACAGAGGACAGCAGAGCAAAGAGAUAGGAAAGAAAGAUAACUGAUUUCAUCAGCUGCUGGAUCCAGCCAUACCUGCAAUCCUACUACCAGACCUCCAGAGUCAAUGCAUUUUUUUCCCUUACUUUUUAUUUUUUAUUCUUUUGAGACAGUCUUGCUCUGUCGCCCAGACUGGAGUACAACUAUGGGCUCCC